This 423-nucleotide ribosomal RNA is filed under the name uncultured bacterium. RNAcentral's name for it is "bacterial SSU rRNA". It matches the Rfam family "Bacterial small subunit ribosomal RNA", at positions 207 to 622 of the family's 1533-position model. The record is from RNAcentral.
CAAGACCUGCGCUUUUGGAGCGGCCGAUGCCUGAUUAGCUUGUUGGUAAGGUAAAGGCUUACCAAGGCUUCGAUCAGUAGCUGGUCUGAGAGGACGACCAGCCACACUGGGACUGAGACACGGCCCAGACUCCUACGGGAGGCAGCAGUGGGGAAUUUUGGACAAUGGGGGCAACCCUGAUCCAGCCAUGCCGCGUGAGUGAAGAAGGCCUUCGGGUUGUAAAGCUCUUUCAGCCGGAACGAAACGGUUACGGAUAACACCCGUGACUACUGACGGUACCGGAAGAAGAAGCACCGGCUAACUACGUGCCAGCAGCCGCGGUAAUACGUAGGGUGCGAGCGUUAAUCGGAAUUACUGGGCGUAAAGCGUGCGCAGGUGGUUUUGUAAGUCAGAUGUGAAAGCCCCGGGCUCAACCUGGGAACU